UGGGGAAUAUUGGACAAUGGGCGAAAGCCUGAUCCAGCCAUGCCGCGUGUGUGAAGAAGGUCUUCGGAUUGUAAAGCACUUUAAGUUGGGAGGAAGGGCAGUAAGCGAAUACCUUGCUGUUUUGACGUUACCGACAGAAUAAGCACCGGCUAACUCUGUGCCAGCAGCCGCGGUAAUACAGAGGGUGCAAGCGUUAAUCGGAAUUACUGGGCGUAAAGCGCGCGUAGGUGGUUCGUUAAGUUGAAUGUGAAAGCCCCGGGCUCAACCUGGGAACUGCAUCCAAAACUGGCGGGCUAGAGUAGGGCAGAGGGUGGUGGAAUUUCCUGUGUAGCGGUGAAAUGCGUAGAUAUAGGAAGGAACACCAGUGGCGAAGGCGACGACCUGGGAUCAUACUGACACUGAGGUGCGAAAGCGUGGGGAGCAAACAGG
This 429-nucleotide ribosomal RNA is filed under the name Pseudomonadota bacterium. Its description in RNAcentral is "Proteobacteria bacterium partial 16S ribosomal RNA". It matches the Rfam family "Bacterial small subunit ribosomal RNA", at positions 355 to 776 of the family's 1533-position model. Lineage: Bacteria; Pseudomonadati; Pseudomonadota. The record is from RNAcentral.